UACAAUUCCUCUUUCUCGGUUCUCGCUCUCUAGAAAGCGAAACAGAGCGGAAAAGGCAGAUGUGAGGAAGAAGAUGAGCUUCGAGAAGGCACAAAACCCAGCUUUGGGCUUUAACUUAGAAACAUGGAAUUUCUAUCAACUGGCUAAUUCAAGUGAGUAGUAGUUCACUGGGAGCGUAGCCAAAAUGAUUAACUUUUUCUUUGCAUCCCUCCGUACAAAAGGUAAAAAUCUCUGGCUUAUGAUUCCUUUUAUGUGUGUGCUUAUCUGUAAAUGAUCUACUUAUUCUAGAUUUAGUGUUUUACUUCAUAUGGGUGACUUCAAAUCUGCAUCAACACUCUUGUUCAUCACCCACACUGAAUAUAUAGAAAUAUGGCUUCUUUGGAUUACGCCAAGUUGUCCUACUUAGAUAUUCCCUUUGAGAUUAAGAGAGAAUUGAACCUAGUAUAUUAUGAUGGCAUGGCAUACAUUGUGUCUGGUUUCAAGGGAUAUAAUUUCGCUUGAUCGUAAAGACAAAUCAUCAAUGUGUUUUACAUAACAAAACAACUGUAAGGAAUUCUGUUUACAUUCAAUAGGCAAGUUGUACAAGCUCAUGAGUAUUCUUGGUUCCCUACCCUCUUUGAUAUCUAAGUCAACCACAUCUACUCAUAUGCAUAUGCCUGCACACAUAGAUAUAUGUAUUGUAUCUUCAAUGUAACAGUAUAUAUAUAUACACCUGAGUGUGACCUAAUGGCAUUAUGAGCAUGGGACGAAAUGGUCUUGCACAAGCAUUUGCUCUUCUUGCUUGUCUAGUGUCCUUUGCACUGCUUUGUAGAACUCAAUCCAAGAAGAUGAGUAUGAAUCCAUGGCGCCAAACAUGAAAGUUGGAUUGGGACUUGCAGGGCAAGCGGUGACCAUAUCCAAAACAGAAGUGGCAGGUUUGAGCUGGUGAGGGAAGUUGAAGGCCAAGUUAUCGACCUUAUGCUCAUAGAUUUUGCCAUUUCGGUCGAGUUUAUAGCGAGAAGUACCCUGAAACUCUCCCUUUGCCUCCCAUGGGACUCUAGGUACACCUUUAAGAUUCCACCUGAUGAGAAUCAUGUUCUCUGAUGGUUGCCAAACCCUGAAGAUCUCAAGUGAGAUAUCCCUGAAGAGAAUCUUGCCAUGAAAUCUAAGUGCCCAGAAGAUCAAUUUGUAGUUGUCAAUCCCAGAGAACGUGUUCAUUGGAUCCACUAAUGUUAUAUCAUCCCUGAAAGAGGAAACACAAAUGCUUUCAUUGACAGGUUUAAGGAAGGAAUCACCUAAAGGAGAAAGAGGAAAACACACCUGUAAAUGUCGUAAUUGAGAUCUUUGGUGAAGAGGAGAGGCAAAUCUUCGCGAAGGGUACGUACAGCUAAACCGAGAUUGAUGUAGAAGUCAUCUUUGCUGCCGUGCUGGUACUUAUCCUGCGCACUUGGUUUGGUCUUAACCUGCGCACCUCGAACAGGAGGAGGAGCCUGGACGCUAAAGAGAGAAAGUGGAGAGAGACUAUCUUCUUCAAACUCGUAGCUAUUGGACGAUGAUGAUGAUGAUGAUAAAGCUUGGUUGGAAAUGGGUUUCUCUUUGAGUGAUUUUCCGGUCGGAAGAAGGAAAGAAGGAGAGAGAUUGGGGAGAAGAAACGCCAUAGCUGCUGGAUUUUAGAGCUUCUCUUGUUCUUUUGUUGUUGUUUUGUCUUAAUUUUUCAAGGCGACUUAAGAGAAUCAGAGGGAGAGGAUGACGAGUUGAGAAGAGCGAAGAUGCACGAAGAAGCUUUGUUGGAAGAUAAACAGCUGCUC
RNAcentral lists this long non-coding RNA (1787 nucleotides) under Arabidopsis thaliana (thale cress). Its description in RNAcentral is "natural antisense transcript overlaps with AT1G79510 (AT1G09863)". Lineage: Eukaryota; Viridiplantae; Streptophyta; Magnoliopsida; Brassicales; Brassicaceae. The record is from RNAcentral.